This 471-nucleotide ribosomal RNA is filed under the name uncultured Thiobacillus sp. RNAcentral describes it as "bacterial SSU rRNA". It matches the Rfam family "Bacterial small subunit ribosomal RNA", at positions 908 to 1382 of the family's 1533-position model. The record is from RNAcentral. Lineage: Bacteria; Pseudomonadati; Pseudomonadota; Betaproteobacteria; Nitrosomonadales; Thiobacillaceae.
AAAUUGACGGGGACCCGCACAAGCGGUGGAUGAUGUGGAUUAAUUCGAUGCAACGCGAAGAACCUUACCUACCCUUGACAUGUCCGGAACUUGCCAGAGAUGGCUUGGUGCCCGAAAGGGAAUCGGAACACAGGUGCUGCAUGGCUGUCGUCAGCUCGUGUCGUGAGAUGUUGGGUUAAGUCCCGCAACGAGCGCAACCCUUAUCAUUAGUUGCUACGCAAGGGCACUCUAAUGAGACUGCCGGUGACAAACCGGAGGAAGGUGGGGAUGACGUCAAGUCCUCAUGGCCCUUAUGGGUAGGGCUUCACACGUCAUACAAUGGUCGGUACAGAGGGUUGCCAAGCCGCGAGGCGGAGCCAAUCCCACAAAGCCGAUCGUAGUCCGGAUUGUUCUCUGCAACUCGAGAGCAUGAAGUCGGAAUCGCUCGUAAUCGCAGGUCAGCAUACUGCGGUGAAUACGUUCCCGGGUCUU